GUAUAGCUCAGAACUGCUCAUAUAUUACCUGCAUGACCACAGCCACUAAGGCAACUCUUUAUUGUGGCAUAACUCCCAUCUAAGUCCUGUGUCAUAUAUCCAACAACUCUGUGUGAUCCUGAGGUCUUUGAACCUGGCAACUAAUGCUAACCUGGUGCAAAAGAUUGCCUCUAUUUCUGUGUCAUUUGUUGAUUCUGAUUUUACAGUGGUCCCCUGAGAAUUCAGAGAAAGCUAUUGAACACUUGCUUGCAAUCUGGAAUAGAUUAGUGCUGGGAAAGUUUUGGCUUGUCUAAACCAGAUUUGUUUGUUUAAUUUUUCUCACACUAGCACAUUUUCUGUCUUUUGCCUGCAGGCAGGUUACCUCUUGACAGAACAUGGGUGCCACACUUGACUCAUCACAACAGGAGCAGAGAUUGUUCUGUACUUCUGAGAGCUGCCUUGACCUGUUUUUCACAUUGAGGUUAGAAGCCCAGCAAGAGACAUCAAAGGAGCUGAGAAAGAAGGAAAGUCACAUGGCUGUGGAGCAGAUCUGUUGCCAUCCUGCAGCUUCUUGCCUCCAUGGGAUCCAGAACAGCAGCAGAAGGGCCCCGGCACUGGUAAGUCAGUGGGCACUGCUUCAGGACUUAUGACUGCCUCAAAACACAGGGUGAGAGGGGAUCCUUUCAUGAAAGAGAUGCUGAAAUGCCUCCCAACAGUCUUGACAUACCAGGUGCUGGGAGGCAACAAGUAAACUGAGGCUUCUGCAUUUGCAGAUUAAAUUAAAUUUUAGCUAAAUCAUUGUAUGUAUUUUUCUAUUAGUGCACAAAAUCAACAAAACAUCCUUAAGAGAAAUUACUUGGCUCUGAGGUUAUCAUGGUGCUCACCACACACAUAAUUUCCCUUUGCAUGACAGGAUCAUGAAUGUUUUUACCAACUAGUUCAUUUUUAAUCUCCAUUAAUUAUAUACCCUUAUCAUCCCUUCUCAUUCUUCUGUCCUUCCCACUUUCUUCUCCUAUUUCUUAGUCUGCAGAUCUGUUACUCAAUGAACAACUGAUUGUUCAAAUGCUAAUUCUAACCAUCAUCUGUUGCCUGUAACGGGAGAGAAAGGUCUUUCCACCUACACUGUAAUAAAUUUUCCAGUUGUGACAACACCAGAAUAGACCAAAGAUGGACUUUCAAUUUUUUAAAAAUAUGACAAAACUGUAAAUAACCUGAUGCUACUCAAAGACUCACAGUUACAACACUUAAAUUCUGUAGCAGUGUGUGAAUCUUGAAACAGUGCUGAAGUACAGAAAAUAGUUCUAUUUAAAAGAUGAGCAAAUAGGACUGCAGCACACUAACUUCUCAGAGCCACACUUAAAAAGCCAAUGACAGGCUAUGAGAAAAACUUACUGCCAACAGUUCAAAAAGCAUAGUUUUAGGUUGUUAAUUCAGCCUGCAGCUCCAGGGACACUGACACUCAAAAAGGCAUUGCAAGGGCAUCACGGCAGGGUGCCCACAUUGCCAGCUCCACACUUUUUAAUCUCUUAAUGAAAAUUCUUCAUUUCAUGAAAGGAAAUGAAAUCUCACAAUUUCAAGGAGCAUCAUUUCACGAAGUUUCAGUCAUUCCAUUCCAUUCCAUUCCAUUCCAUUCCAUUCCAUUCCAUUCCAUUCCAUUCCAUUCAAUUUCACUUCAUUUAAGAAUUUCAUUUUUUUCCUUUAAGCAAGCUCAGGGGUGUAGCUAGGUGCCCAUCCCCAUUUAUGGCCCUAAUCUGCAAGGUGGGAAGGCAGCAAUAUUGUGCUACUGCCAUAAUCCUCUUGUCAUGCAUUUUCCAGCCCCAGUGUCCCUGGAGCUCCAGGCUCUUUUCCUUUCUUAACCUUAACUCUAGGCCUAGUGGCAUCUUGUUGCAGGGGCUGAGGUUCUGAUCACCACGGGAGGUCCAGAUUAGAAAGAUGUAGGAGCAGCAAAGUUGGUGCCCUGCCAGGAUGACCUUGGCAUGCCUUUUCCAGCCCCAGUUUUCCUGGAGCUGUGUACUCUCUACAGCUCUCUGAACCCUAACCCGAACCCUUAUGGCAACUUGCCACUGCUGCUGUGAUCCCCAUCACCAGGGCUGGCCCAGAUUCCAAAAGUGUAGAGUGAGCAAUCUCAGCACCCUGAUGAAAUUUCUUCAUUUCACAAAAGGAAAUUAAAUCUUGCAAUUUCUGGGAGUAUCAUUUCACUGUACUUCAUUCCAUUCCAUUUCAAAAAUUUAACUUCUCCUGAGAAUUUUCUUUUUUUUUUCCAAUUUCAUUUCACUUCCUUGUGUUUUCUUUCUUUGUAUUUUCACUUCAUUCGUUGAUUUCUUGUUUCAUUUCCUCUCAUGAAAGGAAAUACAAUCUAGCUAUUUCAAUGUAAAUCGUUUCAUGAAGUUUUGGCUCAUUUCACUGCACUUCAAACAGGGUACCUAAGAUAAGAAAUUUACAACUUCUAGUGUUUAGUUUUCAUAUAUUGUUACAUGAUUGUCAUUGUGGUAAAUAUGUUGUAUGUCAACUAAUAAAGAAUCACACACUUAUUGUUAAAUACUCAAAUUUUACCUUCAUAAAUCUGAACAGUGGGUAGUUUCUCUUUUUAGUUUCCCUAUUGAUCUUUAGAAAGGUAAGAUGAAACACUGAAAUACAAUUGUUUUCUCAUAUCCUAGUACUUCCCUUCAAGCUGUAUCCAACAAGCUACAAUAUCAGAUCAUGUCCUAGUUGGUGGGGAAAAAAUAUUUCACUGAGAACAAAAUUACAUAAAUAAGAUCCAUUUAAUUAUUUACUGAAGGCUCAACAUACAGAAAACAUUGAAAUACCAGAAGUUCUGAAUGGCAAUCAUAAAAUAUGCUUCAAGAAAAUUCAGAGUAAUGACAUCCAUCAACAAUUUUAGCAGAGAUUUCUGUACUGUGACCAGAAGUGAACUACUUGGAGAGUAUUCAGUAUUUUGCAGCUUAAGAAUGUGGUUUCCUUUGACAGCCCACAGACACUGCAGCUGAAACCAGUCUCCAGCCUCAACAGUCUAGUGGCUGAAAUCCAUCU
This 3009-nucleotide long non-coding RNA is filed under the name Ficedula albicollis (Collared flycatcher). Its description in RNAcentral is "lncRNA (ENSFALG00000024531.1)". Lineage: Eukaryota; Metazoa; Chordata; Aves; Passeriformes; Muscicapidae. The record is from RNAcentral.